This 451-nucleotide ribosomal RNA is filed under the name uncultured bacterium. RNAcentral's name for it is "partial 16S ribosomal RNA". It matches the Rfam family "Bacterial small subunit ribosomal RNA", at positions 354 to 796 of the family's 1533-position model. The record is from RNAcentral.
GUGGGGAAUAUUGGACAAUGGGGGGAACCCUGAUCCAGUCAUGCCGCGUGUGUGAAGAAGGCCUUUUGGUUGUAAAGCACUUUAAGCGAGGAGGAGGCUACCGAGAUUAAUACUCUUGGAUAGUGGACGUUACUCGCAGAAUAAGCACCGGCUAACUCUGUGCCAGCAGCCGCGGUAAUACAGAGGGUGCAAGCGUUAAUCGGAUUUACUGUGUGUAAAGAGCGCGUAGGUGGCCAAUUAAGUAAAAUGUGAAAGCCCCGAGCUUAACUUGGGAAUUGCACUCGAUACUGGUUGGCUAGAGUAUGGGAGAGGAUGGUAGAAUUCCAGGUGUAGCGGUGAAAUGCGUAGAGAUCUGGAGGAAUACCGAUGGCGAAGGCAGCCAUCUGGCCUAAUACUGACACUGAGGUGCGAAAGCAUGGGGAGCAAACAGGAUUAGAAACCCCAGUAGUCC